Molecule: long non-coding RNA, 202 nt
Filed under: Panax ginseng (ginseng)
Lineage: Eukaryota; Viridiplantae; Streptophyta; Magnoliopsida; Apiales; Araliaceae
Description: long non-coding RNA (PGIN_LNC012836)
Source: RNAcentral
AUCGAUGAAAAGUGAUUAGAUCUGACUUUUACAUACCAAUAUUUUCAAUAUUGCUAAUAAAAUCGAACUAACAUAUAGUAAUCCCUCCGUCCUCUCAUAAUAUAUGACGUUUUAGAGUUAUGCACAAAAAUUAAAAAAAUAAUUGUAUAAUAUUAAAUAUUAUCAUACUACACACAUUCUCUCUCUCAUCUGUAAUAUUUUC